CCGUACACAAAAAUGCACAUAUUGUGAGCUUGAUGAGUAGGGCGGGACACGUGGUAUCCUGUCUGAAUAUGGGGGGACCAUCCUCCAAGGCUAAAUACUCCUGACUGACCGAUAGUGAACCAGUACCGUGAGGGAAAGGCGAAAAGAACCCCGGCGAGGGGAGUGAAAAAGAACCUGAAACCGUGUACGUACAAGCAGUGGGAGCACGCUUAGGCGUGUGACUGCGUACCUUUUGUAUAAUGGGUCAGCGACUUAUAUUCUGUAGCAAGGUUAACCGAAUAGGGGAGCCGAAGGGAAACCGAGUCUUAACUGGGCGUUAAGUUGCAGGGUAUAGACCCGAAACCCGGUGAUCUAGCCAUGGGCAGGUUGAAGGUUGGGUAACACUAACUGGAGGACCGAACCGACUAAUGUUGAAAAAUUAGCGGAUGACUUGUGGCUGGGGGUGAAAGGCCAAUCAAACCGGGAGAUAGCUGGUUCUCCCCGAAAGCUAUUUAGGUAGCGCCUCGUGAAUUCAUCUCCGGGGGUAGAGCACUGUUUCGGCAAGGGGGUCAUCCCGACUUACCAACCCGAUGCAAACUGCGAAUACCGGAGAAUGUUAUCACGGGAGACACACGGCGGGUGCUAACGUCCGUCGUGAAGAGGGAAACAACCCAGACCGCCAGCUAAGGUCCCAAAGUCAUGGUUAAGUGGGAAACGAUGUGGGAAGGCCCAGACAGCCAGGAUGUUGGCUUAGAAGCAGCCAUCAUUUAAAGAAAGCGUAAUAGCUCACUGGUCGAGUCGGCCUGCGCGGAAGAUGUAACGGGGCUAAACCAU
RNAcentral lists this ribosomal RNA (813 nucleotides) under Shigella sonnei. RNAcentral describes it as "partial 23S ribosomal RNA". It matches the Rfam family "Bacterial large subunit ribosomal RNA", at positions 373 to 1190 of the family's 2925-position model. The record is from RNAcentral. Lineage: Bacteria; Pseudomonadati; Pseudomonadota; Gammaproteobacteria; Enterobacterales; Enterobacteriaceae.